GCUCAGUUAGUUAAGGUGUCUGACUUUUGGUUUCAGCUCAAGUCUUGAUCUCAGGGGUUGUGAGUUCAAGCCUCACAUUGGGCU
RNAcentral lists this transfer RNA (84 nucleotides) under Canis lupus familiaris (dog). It matches the Rfam family "tRNA". From Rfam's summary of the family: Transfer RNA (tRNA) molecules are approximately 80 nucleotides in length. RNAcentral also lists the same sequence under 1 other name. The record is from Rfam by way of RNAcentral. Lineage: Eukaryota; Metazoa; Chordata; Mammalia; Carnivora; Canidae.